AGUGAACGCUGGCGGUAGGCCUAACACAUGCAAGUCGAACGGCAGCACAGUAAGAGCUUGCUCUUACGGGUGGCGAGUGGCGGACGGGUGAGGAAUACAUCGGAAUCUACUUUUUCGUGGGGGAUAACGUAGGGAAACUUACGCUAAUACCGCAUACGACCUACGGGUGAAAGCAGGGGAUCUUCGGACCUUGCGCGAUUGAAUGAGCCGAUGUCGGAUUAGCUAGUUGGCGGGGUAAAGGCCCACCAAGGCGACGAUCCGUAGCUGGUCUGAGAGGAUGAUCAGCCACACUGGAACUGAGACACGGUCCAGAGUCCUACGGGAGGCAGCAGUGGGGAAUAUUGGACAAUGGGCGCAAGCCUGAUCCAGCCAUACCGCGUGGGUUAAGAAGGCCUUCGGGUUGUAAAGCCCUUUUGUUGGGAAAGAAAAGCAGCAGGUUAAUACCCCGCUGUUCUGACGGUACCCAAAGAAUAAGCACCGGCUAACUUCGUG
RNAcentral lists this ribosomal RNA (492 nucleotides) under uncultured bacterium. RNAcentral's name for it is "partial 16S ribosomal RNA". It matches the Rfam family "Bacterial small subunit ribosomal RNA", at positions 29 to 507 of the family's 1533-position model. The record is from RNAcentral.